GCGAACAGAUAAGGAGCUUGCUCCUUUGACGUUAGCGGCGGACGGGUGAGUAACACGUGGAUAACCUACCUAUAAGACUGGGAUAACUUCGGGAAACCGGAGCUAAUACCGGAUAAGAUUUUGAACCGCAUGGUUCAAUAGUGAAAGACGGCCUUGCUGUCACUUAUAGAUGGAUCCGCGCCGUAUUAGCUAGUUGGUAAGGUAACGGCUUACCAAGGCAACGAUACGUAGCCGACCUGAGAGGGUGAUCGGCCACACUGGAACUGAGACACGGUCCAGACUCCUACGGGAGGCAGCAGUAGGGAAUCUUCCGCAAUGGGCGAAAGCCUGACGGAGCAACGCCGCGUGAGUGAUGAAGGUCUUCGGAUCGUAAAACUCUGUUAUCAGGGAAGAACAAACGUGUAAGUAACUGUGCACGUCUUGACGGUACCUGAUCAGAAAGCCACGGCUAACUACGUGCCAGCAGCCGCGGUAAUACGUAGGUGGCAAGCGUUAUCCGGAAUUAUUGGGCGUAAAGCGCGCGUAGGCGGUUUUUUAAGUCUGAUGUGAAAGCCCACGGCUCAACCGUGGAGGGUCAUUGGAAACUGGAAAACUUGAGUGCAGAAGAGGAAAGUGGAAUUCCAUGUGUAGCGGUGAAAUGCGCAGAGAUAUGGAGGAACACCAGUGGCGAAGGCGACUUUCUGGUCUGUAACUGACGCUGAUGUGCGAAAGCGUGGGGAUCAAACAGGAUUAGAUACCCUGGUAGUCCACGCCGUAAACGAUGAGUGCUAAGUGUUAGGGGGUUUCCGCCCCUUAGUGCUGCAGCUAACGCAUUAAGCACUCCGCCUGGGGAGUACGACCGCAAGGUUGAAACUCAAAGGAAUUGACGGGGACCCGCACAAGCGGUGGAGCAUGUGGUUUAAUUC
This 905-nucleotide ribosomal RNA is filed under the name Staphylococcus pasteuri. RNAcentral describes it as "bacterial SSU rRNA". It matches the Rfam family "Bacterial small subunit ribosomal RNA", at positions 66 to 952 of the family's 1533-position model. The record is from RNAcentral. Lineage: Bacteria; Bacillati; Bacillota; Bacilli; Caryophanales; Staphylococcaceae.